Molecule: long non-coding RNA, 505 nt
Filed under: Homo sapiens (human)
Lineage: Eukaryota; Metazoa; Chordata; Mammalia; Primates; Hominidae
Description: HSALNT0119831
Source: RNAcentral
ACUCGGCCGCGCCCACGGCCUCCCAACCCCGGACAGAGAAGGAAAGGAGGGACCCCCGCGUGUCCGCAGCUGCUUUCGCCUCUCCUGCUCCUGGAGGGGUGGGGGAAUCAUCCGCUGCUUCCCAAGCCCUGCAAACCCCCCAAACUGCUUGUUGGGACCCAUUUCCCGUAGGAGCAAUUUGACCCGCUCGGACCGAGGACAUUCAGCUGUGAGCUUUCGAGAGAUUUUGUAACCAAUAACCAUAAUCCCGCGGCAGAGGCCACAGAAAAGCUUUCAAUUCCUGCCCAGCAUCAUCAACACACACACCCCCGCCAUAAACUUAAAAGCAAGGAUUAAAGACCGGAACACCACGCCACACGGCAGGGGGUAAGCACCAGAGGACAAGAAGUUCUCAGCUGAGUCUCUCCACCCAAUAACGGAGUGAGAACAGAAUCGGGGCAAACAGAAGCAGCAGCUCACCUUUGCCUUUUUGGGACCGAGUGCUCAACUUCUAUGGGUUUCCCGU